ACUAGAGACCCUUCUUUUGGUGGACUUGUGAGUCAUAUCAAGCACUAACUGAAGGCGGGAAUAUCGGAGGCCUUCCGCAACCUUCGUGCGACCCUUCAAUCCACCAGUUCUCCAUCCGGAGUUCAUAUCCAAACCAGAUCCAGUCGAAUGAGCCGAUCUUAGGGUCUUUCACAUCCCCUCUAGAGAAUUGGAAUCCCGAAAAAGCACCAAAAAUUGAGUUAAAGCAAUUGCCCGCCGGACUAAAGUAUGCUUUUCUCUACAAUAAUUUUUAUCCCGU
Molecule: long non-coding RNA, 277 nt
Filed under: Brassica napus (rape)
Lineage: Eukaryota; Viridiplantae; Streptophyta; Magnoliopsida; Brassicales; Brassicaceae
Description: long non-coding RNA (BNAP_LNC009443)
Source: RNAcentral